Austrofundulus limnaeus is the source of this 301-nucleotide long non-coding RNA. RefSeq lists it as uncharacterized. Lineage: Eukaryota; Metazoa; Chordata; Actinopteri; Cyprinodontiformes; Rivulidae. The record is from RefSeq and is a predicted model, not a curated record. The transcript has 3 exons.
GGUCCUGAGAGGCGUGGGCGUAGAUCCACAGGGACGACUGGAGGACCUGGACGCUCUUGCCGCGUUCCUGCAGAAAUUGAAAGGUCAUGAGUUAGUUUGCAUUGUUCUUCAUGUCCAGUGGAUGAGCACGCAUCUGACAGUUGUCUGGGUCAGACAGGGGCGUGGUACUUCUAAGAAAACAUCUAAACGUGUUUCAUUUGGCUAACCAAACGUUUGUACAAACUUGGUGACAGCCACUGUAUUUCCAUAACAACCUGAACAAGUCGCGAGGAAACUCUGACCCAUUACGCGUAUUUUACGC